Molecule: ribosomal RNA, 301 nt
Filed under: uncultured bacterium
Lineage: Bacteria
Description: partial 16S ribosomal RNA
Rfam family: Bacterial small subunit ribosomal RNA
Source: RNAcentral
CAGUCGCCGCGGUAAGACGGGAGAUGCUAGCGUUGUUCGGAAUCAUUGGGCUUAAAGCGCGUGUAGGCGGCUCGGUAAGUACCUUGUGAAAUCCCACGUCUCAACCGUGGAACUGCUUGGUCUACUGCCGGGCUCGAGGCUGGUAGAGGUGCCUGGAACUCUAGGUGGAGCGGUGAAAUGCGUAGAUAUCUAGAGGAACGCCCGUGGCGAAAGCGGGGCACUGGGCCAGUCCUGACGCUGAGACGCGAAAGCGUGGGGAGCAAACGGGAUUAGAUACCCCGGUAGUCCCUGUCUCUUAUAA